Molecule: long non-coding RNA, 1083 nt
Filed under: Ananas comosus (pineapple)
Lineage: Eukaryota; Viridiplantae; Streptophyta; Magnoliopsida; Poales; Bromeliaceae
Description: long non-coding RNA (ACOM_LNC015402)
Source: RNAcentral
UUAUUCACGAAUCCCGUUUAUUCCCGAAUAAUUAUUUUUGCUCAAAAAACCGCGAAUUAUUCCGAAUUUUUGGCAAAAAUUCGAAAACGGGUGUUUAAUUCGGCAUUUCUAAAAUUCGUAAAUAAUUCGCGAAUUAACUAACUAUGGUAUAUAUAUAUAUAUAUAUAUAUAUAUAGAGUUCGGCUACGGUACUUGUAAAAGUACAAAGCACUUAGUACUUGUAAAUUUUUUAUUAUUAGAUCUACGUCUUUAAUCAUUUUUAUCUGUUAGAUUAUACUAUUCAACCAACCACCGACUCAACCCUAAGGGGUCCACAUCAUCUUAACCGCACAUUCCUUAAUUCAAGGACCGAAAACUUACAAGUACCAAUGACUUGGUACUUUUAAAAGCAUAGAAGCUCAAUUAUAUAUAUAUAUAUAUAUAUACAUGUACGAUCGUACGGUGUAUGGUGAGGGGCUGCCAAAAUUAAUUAGAGAAACUAAUUAUAAAGGUGGCCGGUUAUUGAGGCAUGUACGGCUUCGUGGGUGCAGGUGUGGAGGCCAAAUUAAGUAGCAUUCGGUGCCUAGCUAAUUAAUUAAGGUGCCCGUCCGUACGGUAGCAAGAGAAGGGAGGUUGCUCGCAUGCGACGGAUUGAGGUCGGCGGCGGAGCGGCGGUUCUCGACCAAUUGUCUGAGCAAUUCGGAUUCUUCGAAGCAACCGCAUAAAGGAAUUUGGUUAGAGUUUCUACACUUCUCUAAUUUGGUCUUCUCAGUUUUACGAAAAGUUUUUUCGGUAUUUUUUUAGAGUUUUCGUUGGAACAAGAGAAAGGUGGGAUUCACGUUAAGGUUCUUGAUUUUUAUCCGGAGAAGAUAUAAGGUAUAAGCUUGUACUUCUGUUUUUUCAUAUAGUAGAAUACAUAUCUCUCACUCUCCCCGUGGACGUAGGCAAUUGCCGAACUACGUAAAUCUUGGUUUCUUCUUUCUGCAUUUAUUUUUUUUACCGUUCGUUCGGUCGAUUUUUUUUAUUUUUUCGUGCAUCUUUAUUGAUAGCGCAUGACGGAUGAUCCAUCAUGUUCCCAACAGAGACGACUUUUUAAUUUCUCUC